Long non-coding RNA from Pangasianodon hypophthalmus (striped catfish), 1405 nucleotides. RefSeq lists it as uncharacterized. The record is from RefSeq and is a predicted model, not a curated record. The transcript has 4 exons. NCBI's taxonomy places the organism in Eukaryota, Metazoa, Chordata, Actinopteri, Siluriformes, Pangasiidae.
AUGUUACUAUUGCAUCAGGAACAUCUAAACCAGCUGUGUGUGAUAAUUCAGAGGUGUGUGAACCAACACUGCAUGGAGACAACACGGACAUGAGCACACAAGAGAAAACAGUGCUUGGUUUGGGAACGGCUUUGGGCUUGUGUGCACUUCUGAUUUUCUGCCUCAUUUAUUUCAUACUGAGGAGAAGAAAAUGUGAUAAAAUGAAUGCUUCUAUAGAAGAUUCUCCAGGAACGAGGCAGGAAUCUGAGGCCGAAACACUGAAUUAUGCAGCUUUGCAAUUCUCCAAGAGGAAAGCCAAAGGUGGAAAAAGAAACACCGGCUCAUCAGAUGAGUGUGUGUACUCCGAUGUAAAUAAAACUGUAAGAUGUAACAUAAAUAAUUAUUAACAGAUGGUACUAUUACACUGCAAAAACAGUAAAGAUAUUUAAGCAAGUGGAAAUAUGUUGAUGCUAAUUUAUUCCAUAUUUUCAUCAUCAUAAUUAUAAUUUAUACAAUUAAUAAGCUAUUAACAAUUAAUAGCUUAUUAAACCAACAUUUUUGCUAAUUUAAAAGCAAAAACAAAAUGAUAAAAUCUAGAAGCAGAAUUGUUGUAUAUGUCAAGAGUUAAAAAAAAAGAAAAAAUGCCUAGAAAUAUAUGUUUAAUAAUCUCAUAGUAAGAAAUAUUGCAUAAAUUUGCCUAUAUUCAAGGUAUUUUUUUAUUUUAUUUUUUUAUUUUUAGUUUCAGUGUAUAGCUAAACUUCCCUGCCACACGUCUUACUCCUGUUCAAAAUAAUCUGAUUGUCCUUUUUUCUUUCAAUUUUUUUCUUUCAAUUUUUUUUUUUUUUUGUUCAACGAUCCAACAUUUUUUAUUCUGUGGCUACAGUGUUGCACUUUGUGAAGAUGUUGUGGUAUCAUCUGUAUGAUUUUGCCUUAUUUGACUUUUGACUAUACAAUAAAUGUAUAAAGAAUUUAAUUAAAAAUGUAACAAAAACGUCCUCUUAAACAUUAUUCUAAAAUUUUUGAGCAAAUGUAAUGCUCCAGUGUAAUGUAUUUUCAAAAAAAUGUGUGUUGGACUUAAACCAAAGGCCACGGGGGAAAAAAAAAAUUUAAACACAUUUUACAUUAACCAAAGUGAAUAAUCAAACAAGAAAGAUGAAGCGUUUCAGAAAUUCCAUAAUCAUUUAUUGUGCAGUGCAGGAUGUUCAGUUCACACUGCCCACAACUUACAACCACCAUUUAUUUAUUGAGCAUGGAAUGUUUUGUUGCUUUCUUACUAUAAGUUUAAAGGUAUAAUCUUUACUCUUCACCUCAUUACAAUGAUCUAUAACCUUAAAUAUAAACAUGUCAAGUAAAAAUGAAGACGAGAGAGAGAACACAGGAUGUGUUAUACAGCUAACAGCCAAAGACUUUGCUGCUGCUAAGCUGU